UAAGCCAUGCAAGUCGAACGAGUUUAGGCUCGUGGCGUACGGCUCAGUAACACGUGGAUAACCUACCCUUAGGACCGGGAUAACCUUGGGAAACUGAGGACAAUACUGGAUAGGCAAUUUUUCCUGUAAUGGUUUUUUGUUUAAAUGUUUUUUCGCCUAAGGAUGGGUCUGCGGCCGAUUAGGUAGUUGGUUAGGUAACGGCUUACCAAGCCGUCGAUCGGUACGGGUUGUGAGAGCAAGAGCCCGGAGAUGGAACCUGAGACAAGGUUCCAGGCCCUACGGGGUGCAGCAGGCGCGAAACCUCCGCAAUGUGAGAAAUCGCGACGGGGGGAUCCCAAGUGCCAUUCUUAACGGGAUGGCUUUUCAUUAGUGUAAAGAGCUUUUGGAAUAAGGGCUGGGCAAGACCGGUGCCAGCCGCCGCGGUAACACCGGCAGCUCUAGUGGUAGCAGUUUUUAUUGGGCCUAAAGCGUCCGUAGCCGGUUUAAUAAGUCUCUGGUGAAAUCCUGUAGCUUAACUGUGGGAAUUGCUGGAGAUACUAUUAGACUUGAGACCGGGAGAGGUUAUAGGUACUCCCAGGGUAGAGGUGAAAUUCUGUAAUCCUGGGAGGACCGCCUGUUGCGAAGGCGUCUAACUGGAACGGUUCUGACGGUGAGGGACGAAAGUUAGGGGCGCGAACCGGAUUAGAUACCCGGGUAGUCCUAACCGUAAACGAUGCGGACUUGGUGUUGGGGUGGCUUUGAGCUGCUCCAGUGCCGAAGGGAAGCUGUUAAGUCCGCCGCCUGGGAAGUACGGUCGCAAGACUGAAACUUAAAGGAAUUGGCGGGGGAGCACCACAACGCGUGGAGCCUGC
Molecule: ribosomal RNA, 851 nt
Filed under: uncultured Methanobrevibacter sp.
Lineage: Archaea; Methanobacteriati; Methanobacteriota; Methanobacteria; Methanobacteriales; Methanobacteriaceae
Description: bacterial SSU rRNA
Rfam family: Archaeal small subunit ribosomal RNA
Source: RNAcentral